GUGUGUGUAAUUUAAAAAAAAUGUCAAGCUGUGACCUUGAAAAUAGUUAUUCUCACACACC
This 61-nucleotide transfer RNA is filed under the name Daboia russelii (Russell's viper). RNAcentral's name for it is "tRNA-His". The record is from RNAcentral. Lineage: Eukaryota; Metazoa; Chordata; Lepidosauria; Squamata; Viperidae.